CCUGACAGGAAUUGGCCUCAACUUUUCAUUUCCUCUCCCAAGCUGGAAAUACUGGAGGUCGGCAAGUCCCCGGGCAGGAGCGCACGACCGGGCCUCAGCUCCUGACACCCACCAUUCUGCUGGAGGUCUGUCUGAGUUGGACCCUUCUAGAUCUCUGACAUCACUUGUUCCAGAGGAAGCUAGCCAC
Long non-coding RNA from Lontra canadensis (Northern American river otter), 187 nucleotides. RefSeq lists it as uncharacterized. Lineage: Eukaryota; Metazoa; Chordata; Mammalia; Carnivora; Mustelidae. The record is from RefSeq and is a predicted model, not a curated record. The transcript is spliced from 3 exons.